CAGGAAGGGCCUCUCUUUCCCCUUCGCCUCCUCCAGCAGCAGGAUGUGAUCCACCAACAAAGAGGGAAGCCAAUAAGCUUCGCAGAGCCCAGAAUGCCUUAUUUCUGUGAAUUUUCCCUAUCAUGGUGUGAGGACAGAACAAUGACUCCCAGACAUGUGUGCCGAGUCACAGAGACCCGGAGGAAGAAGGAGGCCUCCACAGUGUGUACAAAUGAUGGCACUCACCCACAACCUUACCCAGUCCCUUGCUUCUUGAAGCUUAUGUAGCCCUGGAGGGAAAGCCAAGCUUUGGAAACUGUCCUGGAAGACUGAGACCUAGAUCCCAUUACUGGCCCCCAUGCUCUUGACUCAGAUGGCAGGCCCUAG
RNAcentral lists this long non-coding RNA (366 nucleotides) under Cricetulus griseus (Chinese hamster). Its description in RNAcentral is "lncRNA (ENSCGRG00015043247.1)". The record is from RNAcentral. Lineage: Eukaryota; Metazoa; Chordata; Mammalia; Rodentia; Cricetidae.